GAGCACGGCGAGCGCACAGCGCGGCGGCCGGUCCGCGCCCUUAACCCUUCGGUGCGCGCAGCCCGGGCUCGGAGGCCCCCGGGGAGACGGGCGCGUUUCCCCAAGACCGGCUCGGGAUCGAGGGCCGCGGGGCGGGAGGGGUGACCGGGGCCGGAGGGGACAGUGCUUCCAGGUUUGGGAAAGGGGCGGGGAGCUGAAGCGAUGAGGUAAUUUUAGCGGUGACCGGUAGGUCCUCGCGCGCCUUCCCGGGUCCCUGCAUCUAGUUGGAGGGGACAGAGCGACAGCGGGGUGCAACUCAGGGACCCUGGAGGACUCUCCGAGGGCUGUCGAGCUGCAAGUCGGAGACCAUGAAAUACCCCAAGUGGGAGAGGAGGUGGGCCAAUUCUGAUCCCGACGUUCCCUUCGUCCUGGGCGCGCCGACAAGCGACUAAGAGGGCUGACUCCGAUCUUCACGCGUGUUAACCCUCAAACCGGUUUAGCCUCAGCGUUCCGGAAGCCAGCCCACCGAGCCGCGGGGAUUGUCUUGGCGUGCAACUCAGGAAAGUUUUAAGGGUCCCCCUGUCUGCACGUGCACCCUCACCUUUCCUGCCUACGAAAGCUGGUGACCUCCCUGCUCUCCCUUCUCUUUCUGCAGGUCCGGAAAUCUGCUCUGGGUAUGGAACUACCCAGCUUUACCCUGGGUAGACGAUCCGCGCACUCCUUUCGCCGCUAAUUCGGGAUCAUUAAUUUCAUCGGAAAUGAGGCAACCAGUGUAGGAGAUAGAGAAAGCAAACCGAGCAUCAGAUGGCAGUUCUCGUGAAUCCGCGCCGGAGAACUUCCUCUGGACUCAAAUUUAAGUGCGGUUCUCAACUCCUCGGCACCCCGUCCCUCCGUGGGUACCAACGCCAGGCGUUAGCUGGAAGGGAAGGACUCUUCUUUGGAGGGGUGGUACCUGGCCAACAGGUGUGGCACCUGGAGGAAGAGAAGGCACAGCCAUGCUAAAGGGAGCUCAGUGCGGCGUUUUCCUGGCUGCAGAUAAUUCUGGAAGACCGGUAGGUGUCGGGGCAGCAUUUGACCUCUUUCAGGUGCUUAGAACCAAGUGUCUAGAAAUACGAUCCUUACAACGUAAGUUUUUCUCUGGAAGCCUCCACUUGACUGGAAGCUGUAUUUGAGAAACCUUUUGGCUGAAUUUACUUAUGACCUAACGGUUAGUCACCAACUGAAGCAGGAUACAGAAUCACCAACAGAAAUGUGUCAGCUUUUAAACAACUGUAUUAUAGCGCCAAGGUGCUGCAGAAAUAAAAAUCAGCACCCUAGCUAGGAAGGUGUAGAGCCCCGGAAAUCACUUUUUUCCUCACAUUUUGAAAUACCAUGCACAUAUACAUGGCUAUUUUUAAAGAACUACUACUACUGUUUACUCGUUUCUACAACUUUUUUUUUUCACUUAAAAAUCAAUGAUGGUUACAGUUUAAGCCCCAGGUUGGUCUAAAGUGACAUUGUUGGUCUCAUUACAGCCUCUAGUGGACAAUUAAAAUCGGUUUCCUGAAAAGGCUCUGCCUGACAAGCAUUAUCAAGGUGAAGGUUAAUAUCUCAGAAGGUAAACGGGUAGUAAUGUAUCUUUCCCCCCUUGGCAGUGCCGGUUUCUGAAAGGAGCAUAAGCUGCUAGCUCUGCACGAAAAAGACGUAUGCUUUUUGAGGCAGGUAUUAUUAUUACUGGCCUGUGAAUAAACAGAGAACUUCUGCUCUUCAUUUCAGUUUCAGACAGCUUUCAUAAAAAAAUUAAUUCAUCUAAAAUAUUUUUAUAACAGAAAAUAUUGGUUGCCAAGUUUUUGGCUUAACUGAGAUGUUUUCAUUCCAACUCCUAAUCUGCAGACUGUCCCAUCCACCUCCACUCUAUUUUUAGACAUCUUACAUUUAGAGAAUUUGGGGUUUAAAAAAAAAGCAAUAUUUUCAUUAUUACAUAUUUUAACAACCUUCAACACAUUAAAACACAUAACUCAGAUUCGAGUGAGUCAGUUAAUUUAAAUGUUCCCUCAAGGAAGCUGAAUACACUUAUUACCCAAACAGUAAGAACAAUUAAGAACUGUGUCAUUUACUUACUUAGCCAUUAAGGUUAAAGCCAGAAACUGCCAUUAAAAUUUGUAACUAUUUCUUCCUGCAAGGUCCAACAUAAACAUCAUACUUAUGAUACAGUUUCACUACCUUUAGUACUGAAAUGCUGUCGUUUCCAGUGGCAAAACUUUAAAUGUACAGUCACAAAUAACUGGCCUUGAUUCUUUAAAAACAAUACUUUCUCAUGC
Molecule: long non-coding RNA, 2279 nt
Organism: Phocoena sinus (vaquita)
Lineage: Eukaryota; Metazoa; Chordata; Mammalia; Artiodactyla; Phocoenidae
Source: Ensembl